This 253-nucleotide ribosomal RNA is filed under the name uncultured bacterium. RNAcentral describes it as "partial 16S ribosomal RNA". It matches the Rfam family "Bacterial small subunit ribosomal RNA", at positions 524 to 776 of the family's 1533-position model. The record is from RNAcentral.
UACAGAGGGUGCGAGCGUUAAUCGGAAUUACUGGGCGUAAAGCGCGCGUAGGCGGCUUUGCAAGUCGGGUGUGAAAUCCCCAGGCUUAACCUGGGAACUGCAUUCGAGACUGCAUUGCUAGAGUAUGGGAGAGGGAAGUGGAAUUUCCGGUGUAGCGGUGAAAUGCGUAGAUAUCGGAAGGAACAUCAGUGGCGAAAGCGACUUCCUGGACCUGCACUGACGCUCAUGCACGAAAGCGUGGGGAGCAAACAGG